This 652-nucleotide ribosomal RNA is filed under the name Pholiota squarrosoides. RNAcentral describes it as "eukaryotic LSU rRNA". The stretch from base 267 to 420 matches the Rfam family "5.8S ribosomal RNA". Lineage: Eukaryota; Fungi; Basidiomycota; Agaricomycetes; Agaricales; Strophariaceae. The record is from RNAcentral.
GCGGAAGGAUCAUUAUUGAAUGAACUUGGUAGAUUGUAGCUGGCCAUUUCUGUGGCAUGUGCACGUCUAUCAUUUUUAAUCUUUCCACCUGUGCACGUUUUGUAGAUCAUUGAAUUACCUAUCCAAGGUGACUUGGGGAUGGGGAUUGCUGUGUAGAAAUACUUGGCUUUCCUUGGAUUUUCAAGAUCUAUGUUUUUUCAUAUACACCAUAAAAAUGUUAUAGAAAGUUAUUAUAUUGGCACCAGUGGCCUAUAAAAAGUAUAUACAACUUUCAGCAACGGAUCUCUUGGUUCUCGCAUCGAUGAAGAACGCAGCGAAAUGCGAUAAGUAAUGUGAAUUGCAGAAUUCAGUGAAUCAUCGAAUCUUUGAACGCACCUUGCGCUCCUUGGUAUUCCGAGGAGCAUGCCUGUUUGAGUGUCAUUAAAUUAUCAUGCUUUUAUCAGCUUUAUUGUUGGGAAAGGCGUGGAUGUGGGGGAAAAUUUUUUUGCAGGUUUUUUAUCUAGAUCUGCUCCCCUUAAAUGUAUUAGCUGGUUGCUUGUUCAGACUUGUCUAUUAGUGUGAUAAUUAUCUACGCUGUGGACUGUCUGUGCUUUAAUGUAGCACCUGCUUAUAAACAGUCCUUUGGGACAAUCUAUAUGACAAUUGACCUCAA